This 496-nucleotide ribosomal RNA is filed under the name uncultured bacterium. Its description in RNAcentral is "partial 16S ribosomal RNA". It matches the Rfam family "Bacterial small subunit ribosomal RNA", at positions 29 to 507 of the family's 1533-position model. The record is from RNAcentral.
AUGCACGCUGGCGGCGUGCCUAAUACAUGCAAGUCGAGCGAACAGACGAGGAGCUUGCUCCUCUGUCGUUAGCGGCGGACGGGUGAGUAACACGUGGAUAACCUACCUAUAAGACUGGGAUAACUUCGGGAAACCGGAGCUAAUACCGGAUAAUAUAUUGAACCGCAUGGUUCAAUAGUGAAAGACGGUUUUGCUGUCACUUAUAGAUGGAUCCGCGCCGCAUUAGCUAGUUGGUAAGGUAACGGCUUACCAAGGCGACGAUGCGUAGCCGACCUGAGAGGGUGAUCGGCCACACUGGAACUGAGACACGGUCCAGACUCCUACGGGAGGCAGCAGUAGGGAAUCUUCCGCAAUGGGCGAAAGCCUGACGGAGCAACGCCGCGUGAGUGAUGAAGGUCUUCGGAUCGUAAAACUCUGUUAUUAGGGAAGAACAAAUGUGUAAGUAACUAUGCACGUCUUGACGGUACCUAAUCAGAAAGCCACGGCUAACUACGUG